RNAcentral lists this long non-coding RNA (964 nucleotides) under Homo sapiens (human). RNAcentral's name for it is "non-protein coding lnc-ALDH3A2-6:1". Lineage: Eukaryota; Metazoa; Chordata; Mammalia; Primates; Hominidae. The record is from RNAcentral.
GCGUGUUGGUUUCCCAGCUCAUUGAUUUCCGUUUCUAUCAAUUCCUAGUUUCUUUUGGUGCUUAAACUAUAUAGGUCCUUUAUUUUUGUUUUCCUAUUAUAACACAGGAGUGAAAGUGUUUGCUUUUCCUCUGAAUUUGCUGCUGGAGCUCAAGCGAGAGUUCGCCUUCAAAGAUGCCCUCUACAUGUGUGAGGUCACCUGAAGUUCGCUGUCCCCUGAUCCUCCUGAACAUGAGGGAGAACUGGUUGGAUCCCCCAGCUAAGUGGCAGACACUGGUUUUGGUGGCCACAGGGGGCAGCCCGUGUGACAGGCACAUGCUAAGGCCUGCCAGUGGAGGAGGUAGUACCUUUGAAGAUGCCAUUGACCACCUGGCCACAGCCAGCCAGGGGCCUGGUAGCAGGGGGUGUCACCUGAGACAAGCCGUCCUGGAUGGCCUCCAGCAACUCAGGGAUAACAUGGGCUUCGGGAGGGACCCUCUGGUCCAGCUGCCCCACCCAACCACCCUUAUUAGCUCCAAGUCCCUCUCCAAGCCUUUGCCAAACUCCCCAGACCCACUGCUCUCCUCCUUUUCCCAUCCUGGUUCCCCAUCUUCCUUAUCUCCACCAUCCACCCAGGAGGCGUCUGCCACUGCUGACAUGCUGUCGGCUCCCCCUUGGUGCGAGAGGUAGGCUCCCAGAAAGACCCUGGAAAGUCCCUGCCACCCACACCACCAAUGGGGCUGCCCCCACCCCAGGAGUCUGGUUGGGGGAACCCAUUUAUGCUGUUCCUCUACCUGGCCCUCCUGCUGGAGCACCGCAACCACACCAUGUGCAAUGCGCUGGAUGACAACGAGCUGGCCAUGUGCUUUGACCGCCUCAUGUGAAAACGCCACCUGGGGCGUGUCCUGUGCUGGGCCAGGGCUCUCUUUGCUGAUUACCUGCAGUGUGGGACUUGGAGGAGGGGGCUGAGGCCACAGCUACAUCUU